RNAcentral lists this ribosomal RNA (789 nucleotides) under uncultured bacterium. Its description in RNAcentral is "bacterial SSU rRNA". It matches the Rfam family "Bacterial small subunit ribosomal RNA", at positions 8 to 798 of the family's 1533-position model. The record is from RNAcentral.
AGAGUUUGAUCAUGGCUCAGGACGAACGCUGGCGGCGUGCUUAACACAUGCAAGUCGAACGGAAAGGCCCCUUCGGGGGUACUCGAGUGGCGAACGGGUGAGUAACACGUGGGUGAUCUGCCCUGCACUUUGGGAUAAGCCUGGGAAACUGGGUCUAAUACCGAAUAGGACCGCAUGCUUCACGGUGUGUGGUGGAAAGCUUUUGCGGUGUGGGAUGGGCCCGCGGCCUAUCAGCUUGUUGGUGGGGUAAUGGCCUACCAAGGCGACGACGGGUAGCCGGCCUGAGAGGGUGUCCGGCCACACUGGGACUGAGAUACGGCCCAGACUCCUACGGGAGGCAGCAGUGGGGAAUAUUGCACAAUGGGCGCAAGCCUGAUGCAGCGACGCCGCGUGGGGGAUGACGGCCUUCGGGUUGUAAACCUCUUUCAGUAUCGGCGAAGCUCCAGGAUUUUUCUUGGGGUGACGGUAGGUACAGAAGAAGCACCGGCCAACUACGUGCCAGCAGCCGCGGUAAUACGUAGGAUGCGAGCGUUGUCCGGAAUUACUGGGCGUAAAGAGCUCGUAGGUGGUUUGUCACGUUGUCUGUGAAAACUCACAGCUUAACUGUGGGCGUGCGGGCGAUACGGGCAGACUGGAGUACUGUAGGGGAGACUGGAAUUCCUGGUGUAGCGGUGGAAUGCGCAGAUAUCAGGAGGAACACCGGUGGCGAAGGCGGGUCUCCGGGCAGUAACUGACGCUGAGGAGCGAAAGCGUGGGGAGCGAACAGGAUUAGAUACCCUGGUAGUCCAA